GAUGAACGCUGGCGGCGUGCCUAAUACAUGCAAGUCGAGCGCACGGACGAGAAGCUUGCUUCUCUGAUGUUAGCGGCGGACGGGUGAGUAACACGUGGAUAACCUACCUAUAAGUCUGGGAUAACUUCGGGAAACCGGAGCUAAUACCGGAUAAUCUUUUGAACCGCAUGGUUCUAAAGUGAAAGACGGUCUUGCUGUCACUUAUAGAUGGAUCCGCGCUGCAUUAGCUAGUUGGUAGGGUGACGGCCUACCAAGGCAACGAUGCAUAGCCGGCCUGGGAGGGUGAACGGGAAAAUUGGGACAGAGAUACGGCCCAGACUCCUACGGGAGGCAGCAGUGGGGAAUAUUGCACAAUGGGCGAAAGCCUGAUGCAGCGACGAAGAGUGAGGGAUGGAGGCCUUCGGGUUGUGAAACUCUUUCGCUCAUGGUCAAGCCGAAAAAAUGGUUGUGGUGAGGGUAGUGGGUAAAGAAGCGCCGGCUAACUACGUG
This 489-nucleotide ribosomal RNA is filed under the name uncultured bacterium. RNAcentral describes it as "partial 16S ribosomal RNA". It matches the Rfam family "Bacterial small subunit ribosomal RNA", at positions 28 to 507 of the family's 1533-position model. The record is from RNAcentral.